GGACCCGCACAAGCAGCGGAGCAUGUGGUUUAAUUCGAAGCAACGCGAAGAACCUUACCAAGGCUUGACAUCCCUCUGACCGGGACUUAAUCGUCCCUUUCCUUCGGGACAGAGGAGACAGGUGGUGCAUGGUUGUCGUCAGCUCGUGUCGUGAGAUGUUGGGUUAAGUCCCGCAACGAGCGCAACCCUUGUCAUUAGUUGCCAUCAGGUUAAGCUGGGCACUCUAGUGAGACUGCCGGGGAUAACUCGGAGGAAGGUGGGGAUGACGUCAAAUCAUCAUGCCCCUUAUGUCUUGGGCUACACACGUGCUACAAUGGCCGGUACAGAGUGAAGCAAAGCCGCGAGGUGGAGCAAAUCCCCAAAACGGUCCCAGUUCGGAUUGUAGGCUGCAACUCGCCUACAUGAAGUCGGAGUUGCUAGUAAUCGCGAAUCAGAAUGUCG
RNAcentral lists this ribosomal RNA (441 nucleotides) under uncultured Bacillota bacterium. RNAcentral's name for it is "bacterial SSU rRNA". It matches the Rfam family "Bacterial small subunit ribosomal RNA", at positions 917 to 1359 of the family's 1533-position model. Lineage: Bacteria; Bacillati; Bacillota. The record is from RNAcentral.